UACGGAGGGUGCAAGCGUUAAUCGGAAUUACUGGGCGUAAAGCGCACGUAGGCUGCUUUGUAAGUCAGGGGUGAAAUCCCACGGCUCAACCGUGGAACUGCCUUUGAUACUGCUUAGCUUGAAUCCGGGAGAGGGUGGCGGAAUUCCAGGUGUAGGAGUGAGAUCCGUAGAUAUCUGGAGGAACAUCAGUGGCGAAGGCGGCCGCCUGGACCGGUAUUGACGCUGAGGUGCGAAAGCGUGGGGAGCAAAC
This 250-nucleotide ribosomal RNA is filed under the name uncultured prokaryote. Its description in RNAcentral is "partial 16S ribosomal RNA". It matches the Rfam family "Bacterial small subunit ribosomal RNA", at positions 524 to 773 of the family's 1533-position model. The record is from RNAcentral.